Molecule: non-coding RNA, 455 nt
Organism: Pimephales promelas (fathead minnow)
Lineage: Eukaryota; Metazoa; Chordata; Actinopteri; Cypriniformes; Leuciscidae
Source: RefSeq, a predicted model, not a curated record
UGUGGAUCAUGUUCAUGGCUUCAUCACGAACUGUACUGAAAUCUCUAUGACCGCUCACCUGGAGGAAAGUAACAUGGCUCUUCACGGUCACUGGAGACGGACUCAGCUCGUACUUCACGUUGGGAAUUUUUGUCGGUGCGAAGCUGAUCAAGAGGAAAUGAUUUGAGUAACAGAAUGUUACUUUCAUAUGAAACUGCUCUGCUUAUUCUGGACUUUCAUCAAGCAACUUCAUGAGGUGCAUCAUGAAAUGCUUUUUGAAGAAGGAACGAUAUGCAUUAAGCAUUUCAUGCAGCUUUUCCUUCAACUCAUUCAUUAAAAAAAGAAAAAAAAAGAAAUGGAAAUCAGUUAAGCAGAAGCCUUUAGAUUAAUUGUUUCUGUGAUCCUGAGAAACAGUGUGAGUCGAGUGUUCCCAGGCUUUUGAAUGGCAGUGUAUGUAAAACAGACUCACAUACAUG